RNAcentral lists this transfer RNA (69 nucleotides) under Cnemoplites edulis. RNAcentral describes it as "tRNA-Gln". Lineage: Eukaryota; Metazoa; Arthropoda; Insecta; Coleoptera; Cerambycidae. The record is from RNAcentral.
UACACCUUAUUAUACGAUGUAUGCGGAUUUUUGAUAUCUGAGGGAGUAGUUUAAUUCUACUAGGUGUAA